UGGUUGCGGUGGCUGCGGGGCUGAUGAUUUCAGGAAACUACUAAAGUUCCUGUGGAAGGAAAGUAGAAUUUCGUAAGAACAUAAUGGAUGGAGAGGAGAAAACCUAUGGUGGCUGUGAAGGCCCUGAUGCCAUGUAUGUCAAAUUGAUGUCUUCUGAUGGUCGUGAAUUUGUUGUAAAAAGAGAACAUGCACUAACAUCAGGAACGAUAAAAGCAGUGUUGAGUGGUCCAGGUCAGUUUGCUGAGAACAAAACCAAUGAGGUCAAUUUUAGAGAGAUCUCUUCACAUGUGCUAUCAAAAGUGUGCAUGUAUUUUACCUACAAGGUUCGCUACACUAACAGCUCCACCAAGAUUCCUGAAUUCCCAAUUGCGCCUGAAAUUGCACUGCAACUGCUGAUGGCUGCGAACUUCCUAGAUUGCUAAAUAAAAUAAAUUAUAAUAAACUG
This is an RNA transcript of Galeopterus variegatus (Sunda flying lemur), 445 nucleotides long. It is a transcript of the gene named transcription elongation factor B polypeptide 1 pseudogene, with no coding region annotated. The record is from RefSeq and is a predicted model, not a curated record. The transcript has a single exon. Lineage: Eukaryota; Metazoa; Chordata; Mammalia; Dermoptera; Cynocephalidae.